This 410-nucleotide ribosomal RNA is filed under the name Campylobacter jejuni. RNAcentral's name for it is "bacterial LSU rRNA". It matches the Rfam family "Bacterial large subunit ribosomal RNA", at positions 1899 to 2308 of the family's 2925-position model. Lineage: Bacteria; Pseudomonadati; Campylobacterota; Epsilonproteobacteria; Campylobacterales; Campylobacteraceae. The record is from RNAcentral.
GCGAAGCUCUUGAUCGAAGCCCGAGUAAACGGCGGCCGUAACUAUAACGGUCCUAAGGUAGCGAAAUUCCUUGUCGGUUAAAUACCGACCUGCAUGAAUGGCGUAACGAGAUGGGAGCUGUCUCAAAGAGGGAUCCAGUGAAAUUGUAGUGGAGGUGAAAAUUCCUCCUACCCGCGGCAAGACGGAAAGACCCCGUGGACCUUUACUACAGCUUGACACUGCUAUUUGGAUAAGAAUGUGCAGGAUAGGUGGGAGGCUUUGAGUAUAUGACGCCAGUUGUAUAUGAGCCGUUGUUGAGAUACCACUCUUUCUUAUUUGGGUAGCUAACCAGCUUGAGUUAUCCUCAAGUGGGACAAUGUCUGGUGGGUAGUUUGACUGGGGCGGUCGCCUCCCAAAUAAUAACGGAGGCU